RNAcentral lists this ribosomal RNA (275 nucleotides) under Microsporidium sp. Dhae17W. RNAcentral describes it as "partial large subunit ribosomal RNA". The stretch from base 87 to 275 matches the Rfam family "Eukaryotic large subunit ribosomal RNA", at positions 1 to 203 of the family's 3401-position model. Lineage: Eukaryota; Fungi; Microsporidia. The record is from RNAcentral.
UAAUGCAAAGGAGCGUUAGGUUCUAGUUGACGAAGAAGGGCGAUAAAGAAAUCGAAAAUUAUUAGAAUAUUAAUAAUGAUAAUAAAUACCCUAAUUUAAAUAAAGAUAACUCCUUGGAUUUAAGCAUAUGAGUAAAGGAAGGAAAAGAAACUAACAAGGAUUUCUUUAGUAGCGGCGAGUGAACAAGAAAAAGCUCAAAGUAUAAUUCUAAUAUAAAAUUUUAUAUAUAGAAAUUGUCAAAAAAGAAAUUUUAUAUUUUUUUUAAAAAAAAUAAU